GGGGGGGGGGGGGGGGGGGGGGGGGGCGGGGGGGGCGGGGGGGGGGGCGGGGGGUGUGGGGGGGGCUCGGGUGGCGACCGGGUGGGUGAGACGUGAGUGACCUGCCCUUGACUGUGGGGUAACGUCCGGGGACGGGGGCUAAUACCGGAUAGGAGCUCCUGCUGCGUGGUGGGGGUUGGGAGGUUUCGGCGGUUGGUGCUGGACUCGCGGCGUAUCAGCUUGUUGGUGGGGUAGUGGCUUACCAAGGCUUUGACGGGUAGCCGGCCGGGGAGGGUGACCGGCCACAUUGGGACUGAGAUACGGCCCAGACGCCUACGGGAGGCAGCAGUGGGGAAUAUUGCACAAUGGGCGGAAGCCUGAUGCAGCAACGCCGCGUGCGGGAUGACGGCCUUCGGGUUGUAAACCGCUUUCGCCUGUGACGAAGCGUGAGUGACGGUAAUGGGUAAAGAAGCACCGGCUAACUACGUG
RNAcentral lists this ribosomal RNA (468 nucleotides) under uncultured bacterium. RNAcentral's name for it is "partial 16S ribosomal RNA". The stretch from base 51 to 468 matches the Rfam family "Bacterial small subunit ribosomal RNA", at positions 39 to 507 of the family's 1533-position model. The record is from RNAcentral.